Molecule: unclassified non-coding RNA, 330 nt
Filed under: Hevea brasiliensis (rubber tree)
Lineage: Eukaryota; Viridiplantae; Streptophyta; Magnoliopsida; Malpighiales; Euphorbiaceae
Source: RNAcentral
GAAACCCUCGUUGUGUUCAUGCUCUGACCGAUCUCCGCAAAUCCGAUCCACUUUGAUCUUUCGUUAUGGAGCGCGUAAUCGGCGGCAAGUACAAGCUUGGCCGCAAGAUCGGCAGCGGAUCGUUCGGCGAAAUCUAUCUCGCUACUCAUAUUGAGACGUUCGAAAUCGUCGCUGUGAAAAUCGAAAACAAUAAAACAAAGCAUCCGCAACUGCUUUAUGAGGCCAAAUUGUAUAAUAUUCUUCAAGGAGGAAGCGGUAUUCCUGCUACGAAAUGGUCUGGUAUAGACGGGGAAGAGAAUGUGCUUGUACUUGAUUUGCUUGGACCAAGUC